This is a long non-coding RNA of Hylaeus volcanicus, 7353 nucleotides long. RefSeq lists it as uncharacterized. NCBI's taxonomy places the organism in Eukaryota, Metazoa, Arthropoda, Insecta, Hymenoptera, Colletidae. The record is from RefSeq and is a predicted model, not a curated record. The transcript is spliced from 5 exons.
GUCGCGACAUUCGAAGAAACGCUCUAUUGUUCCAAGUUCGUUAACAACUACGUUCGUUUGAUUAUAGCGCCUGACGCACUCAUCGCGGUCGAUGGUUAAGCAAUUACUCGAGCGCGAGAGCAAGCAGGACUCGGGAGUUUCCGUCCAGGAUCGGGACGGAUCGGCCACGCGAGCAACACGCGAUCGGUGACCUGGCUGGACCAGUCCUGAAGAUCUUCCACGUAGGUCUGGUGGGGAAAACAACCGGCCUGGUCGCCCUCGUGCGUGUGAUUCCACGCUUACGGGUGUACGUGUCCGCUACUUUUUUACCACGUAGCUGCCGGAGAAACCGGAGAACGAGGGGUCCAGAGAUAAGGACGCGGAUGGUAGCAAGAAGGACGGAGACCUGUUCUCCAAGACGCCGGGAGGCUUGACCCCGCCAAGAAUCUCGCAUCUGCUCUGUCUCUCUCUCCUUUCUCAACCUGCCGCUGCUGCUGCUCAGGGACUAAUUUACCGACUCCGAGAGUCGGUUCUACCUGGCAGCUUCGCAACGUCCACGGAUAUGGGAACAACGUGGUACUUGCGCGCCGAUGUGUCGGGGUUCGGGGGAGAUGCCUGGAUUUAUGUCUCGGAGAAGUUGUAAGGUCGGAGGUGGGAGUUUCGUGUGCGCUCAUUGGCAAGAUUUGCUGGCGUUUUGUGCAUGGAACACGCCACGCGAUAUGCCCCCACCCUAAUUAAUCAUCGCUGUACCGAGCAUUUUUCGUUACUCGGACUACCAUCCUCGGGGUUAAUAAUGCGAUCACCCCGUUAGAUUCCACAGCUUCUCUCAGACGCGACAAUCGCGUUCCCUUUGUUAAUUCCCAAAGUUCUUCUUUUCUUUUCGCGUCGAAGCAAUCCUGGUAAGAGGCGCCAGCCGACGCGGCGCGUCUUUUGUUCCCGAAUAAAGGCUACUCCGUCGACUUAAACUAAUUAAAGAAACGGGUCCGUCGGACGCGUUACUCGGUUCCUACGAACAAAUGUUUACGUUUGUACGAUCCGAUACUGUAUCCGGUCAAAGAAAGCGUCUGCUCCUUUUGAGCUUUUCUACCCGUUGUUUCUCCGCUCAUUCGAGUUCUUCGACCGGAUCGCGAACGAGCGCGAGGAAAGAAAGCACGAAAAGGAAAAAAUGCAGAAAGAAAACGGUCGCGCUAUUCAGUCGGUCCGCGUCUCUGAACUCUGAACUGAAUAAGUACGGCGACGACGGACGGGAGCUUCUCUUUAAUUCAUUAAAACUUUACGCAUGACGUUUUAGAUAUUUAUCUCGGCAACCCCUUUUAUCCUCUAUAACUCCGCGUUCUUUGAGUCUGCCUCGGAGGCUCGACUACACUUUUAUUCCUGCACCCGCGGUUUCGUUCUCUUUUUCUCCACCUCUUCCACGAUCCUCCAUCCUAUUCCGGCUGUUUCUCUUUCGCGCCGUGUUUUACUCUUAUUCUUGCCCACUCUUUUUCGCGCUCCUCUUUUCUCCUCGUAGUUCACCGUCUCCCGUUCUCCGCUACCCAUUUCCAGCGCCGUACUAUUCUAUAGGCAAACAAGUCAUCUGCCUAGGGCCCUGAUCAAAGGGGGCCUCUUACGCGAAUGUUUCGGAAAUACGUGCACAAUAUAAGGAGAAUGACGGCUAUUGUACGCGGGGAGAAUAAGCUUUUUCAUUCGCGAAUAUUGGUACGUCGUAGCGAAAUUGUAAGGGAUAUUUGCACUUAUGUGCACGUUUCCUUUCAUAUCAAAAUGAUUAUUACUUUCGAUCACAAUACUUUGAGAAAUUAACAAAUGUAACAUAUUAAGGGGGAAAAAUAGAUUUAGGACUACGUUUUUUAACUUCUAAAAAAUUACAAUAUUUACUUGAAUAUAUGUAUAUAACGGUUUCAAAGUUUCGUUAAAUUAUAUACGUUCUUUUCUUUCUAAACAAAAUUCAUGCAAAUCGCUAAAAAACACGUAAUCCAAAACCAAUGUCUCCACUUAAAGUGAGACAGCAUACUUGUACUUGCUGCCACCUUGUCGUUCAAAUGCAAGCUCCAUUCGUCGAUUGACCGUUACAAGUUUGCGACAUUCUGAAGAAAGGAGGAACGAGGAUUCCCAUCACGGAUCAACGAAGUCGUAAAGGAAACAAGAAUGCUCGCAGCUUCCAGGAUGAACUUGAACCGUGUUUACUCCGGGGUUAGAUACGUUCUAAUGAUGCUGUCUGGCGCGGAGGUAGCAGAUGCAGUGUUGGCUCGUUACGAACCGUGUAUGUAUCCGUGGGCUCGACGAUGGAAACGGCGAAAACGGGGAAGCUGCGGGGAACUUUCAGGUGCCCCGUCUCUUCGCUGAGGUUCUACGUCAAUAGUGUGUAAGCUUCUUGGCUUAUAAGAGUCUACUUGGAGUAGAACGGCGCACAUCGGUGGUGCUCGAGAGGGACACUUGGAGUAUUAAGGGUUAAGAUACAAUUUUUCUUUCGCUUCCGUCGUCGUGUACAAUAAUACAGAAGCACUCGAGAAAUACAAAACAGUUUUCAUCCGUGGAAUGGUGCCAAUCGUGUCGCUGGAAGAAACUCGAACGGCCCGUGACAGACUGGAUCCAGAUUUGAUCCCACCCCUGGACCUGGCUCAAUCGGCUCAUGGACUUACACGGAUUACUAUCCACGGUUUUGAGGAACGUCAGCCGUUCCAGCCGGAAGUAUUACUCUCCCUCCUCCAAAAAAAAGUAAUAUGUAUGUAGAAUCUGAAGCAGCCUCGAAGGAAGGAUUAAGAGGGGUAAUUGGCUGCCGCGCACUGGUACCAUAAAAUUCGUGGUCUUUAUCGUCCAAUAUUCCUCGAGCACCGACAUUUUCUUAGGAACUCAGAAAUUAAUCAUCGUUUAAGAGACGCUUUGCAUAUAAUUUCUUACUCAUUUCCUUCGAGUUUAACAUUUUGUAGAAAGCGUGAUAAUGGCCAGCGUCUUCUAGGUUUCCAAACAAUACAAUCUAAUUUCUGACUUAUAAUUGUCGUGUAAAAUAGCACGGGUUAAAAUUGGCCCAGUUCCGCAGACGAACUGUUAGGGGGUCAAAGGGGAAAAUAAGAGAGCGGCGAGCAGAUUUCCCCGAGCACUUUAUAACGCGACCAGUUCAAAUAUUCGUAAAGGAACGUCGACGAAUAAAAAUUCCACGUUUGUACGCGUCGAGGAACCGCGCUCUGUAAGCAACGCCGAGAGUCCUGAAUUAAUAUUAUGCUUCCUUAAUUAAAUAAAGCUCGCUCGCUGCUCCGAAAAGUUCGCGAUGCGCGUGGAACUUACCGUUAAUUAUGGAAUUCGUUGGUUCGGCGUUAUCGAAGCUUGCCGACGAUUCGAUCGCGGAGAAAUCAACUCUAGACUUCGAGAAUGUUGGAAAAGUAUCGCGAAUAGUAGAUACUAAUGAUAGUUUCCCGAAUGAGUUUCGUUAAUAAUUAAAAAACGAAGCAACAUCCGACAUUUUUGCAAAGGAAAUCGUGGUUCAGAAUCGUCUCAGCUACCCCCCAUUUCCGGUUCUACAUUCUCGACUUUCUCAAAUUUUGUAAGGCUUUUAUCUAUUACUAAAUAUUUAUUCCAACGCGGGGCUCGUUUCUGUCAUCACUGAGUUGGGAGGACUCGCGGUCUUUUUUGCUUUGAGGGUAAACAUAAUUCGCGACGUGCCUUUCCCUUCUCCCGCGGGGAAUCUCUCCCGCGGCGCCGCGAGCUUCUCGAACGCGUUUCUUACCUGAGUCUACAAAUUAUCUGGCGAAUGAAACUUUUAUGCGACAGUUUAAGACCUGGGGUAAUUCCGUCGUUGAUAAGCUGCCGCACAGACGAGCCGGGGGUUUGUAUUGCAGACGAGGAGGGCAGACUUUUAAUAAUACGCCGCGAUUUCGACGAUCUACACGUUCAAUUAUUCCAUUUACGAAGAUGUAACUAUUUCAUAUUAAUUGAAGUGGGUAGGAAAGUUUUAAAGUAAGAAGAGUGGUUGGGCAUUCAUUUUUCUACAGUGUUAAGAAAUGCAAAAAAUUCUGUAAAAUAAUUAGAAACGUGGGACGAAAAGGUAGAAAGCGUGUGGCACGAUGACUCAAAGGUUUAAUAAGAGGUCACCAGGACGCGGUUCUCCGAAAAAUGUUACAGUCGAAAUAUUACAAUCUCCAAAGUGGCGAAACGGGUGCUCUGGCGCCGCAACAAUGCCAAUUUUAGUUAGUCGAAAUAAUUGGGUCGCCUUCGUUGCGCUUCCCGUAGCUUUGGCCUCAUCUGGCCGCGCAACGCGGCAGAAAAGACGCGAAAUUCGUUCGUCGAAAUUCAAUUUUUCUCGCGGUGCACGGAACCGCGGCGUAGAAGAUGCCUUUCUGUCGCACAAUCAAGCGGGUACUACGUGUGCUCGAGCCCGUGCCCGUAACUUGCACGGACCUUUUUGUACCCCUCCGCCGACCGCCCCUUUCGCUUCUUAGUCUUUUUUACUUUUGAAAGCGAAAUACGCGAUAUGCAUUUCUUGCACGGGAAAAACAGCGGAGCCGCUUUUGUGCCGAACGACGACGUCAGUUGGGCGAGAGUCAGACCCGUGUCUCGUCUUCGGCGGCAGCCUUCUGAAAGUAAAACAAACGUUUUCGCAAUCACGGCCUUUGUGAUGGGAGCGAGGUUUUUUUUUCCUGGAGAAAAACUGGAGCGCGCCGAGAAUCCGUUUAUUCGAUGGAAGAAAAUACCUACGGGCCUGUGUACGUUCCCGAAGCGGUACGAAAGAGAUAUCAUUCAAGAAGAUUUUAUGAAUGGAAACAGCGACAUCGCCCGCCUAAUAGGAUUCCGUAUCGGAUCUGUGAGCCGUAGGUCUUGAAUAUUUCUGAUAGUCGUGCACGGGGCGACUCGAGAAACUGAGACAAACUGUAGCUCAUUUCUAGAAGAUACAAACAAUACAGGAAAAAGUAGAACGCGAUGUUGCGCUUCUUUUCCAAAUGUAACCGCGCGCCUUUUUGCCGUAGAUCGAUCCUUCUACUCAUUCUACGCGUAAAAGAACCAAGACCGUUGAAAACGUAACUCGCGAGUAAAAUAUACUAAUACCAGAAGGUGUUUUAUAGUUGAAAGGACUCGGAAAGGGGUCCCAAAGUACGGGACUUUGACGACCGAGGGUGGAUUGGCGAGCAAAUAGGAAAUGGCUUUCGUACGUGCUCGGGUGCUCGUUGCACGGUGCAACAGCGAUAUUUAUGGCGCAAUAAUAAUAUUUUACGCUCCUGCAGCGUCAUUAAUAACAAAUACUUUGCGAUUAUUUCAUGAUAUUAUACGCCGGUACGAAUGGUAUAAAUAAUAUACACGGCUGGGAAUUACCCGGCAACAAAAGGACCGUGAAAGGAGUCAAUUUAUGGAGCGAAAUUUCGCGAUUCUCCGCGACGAAAGAAUCGUCGACGGCUCCCGGAAUUCUGUGGCUACUAUCUCGUUAAACGAUCUCGCGGCCUUCCCAUCGCGGACUUACAAGCGAAUCGCUUUAUUCUACACGCGCGAUCCAAUUAAUUAAACGAAUUCGCUCGCGCACGUUUUAAUUAUAAUCUUGACCAACGGUGAAUGUGUUCGGGCGAUGUAACGCGCCGCGAAAUAAACCAUUAUCUCAAUAUAGUAUUAACUCAAUGGAUACAAACGAUGAAAGGUUUACAAUGGUCAUUGUGCAGAGGUAUUUAGUAAAUGAGGAAUAGAACAAUAUUAUGUGCUCGUCUCGUUUAUUGUUUCGGUCGAUUUCGAAUGGCGAAUUGUGACGCGAAUAUAGUCGACGUCGUUUAUCGAAUACGAUUUCAAUUCGAUUGACGGUUUAAACCACUGACAUGUUAUCCGAGUCAUUCCAAGUUUGUUAUUAAAUUAUGCGCCCAACGUAGCCGCAAUUUCACUGGCGAAAACAGUUUGGCUCUUGGUAAUAGGGCCCGGCAAUUUCAUAAACGACAUUUUAACGGUGCUGCCGCAUUUGGUUCGUUAAUUAUUCAUUUGACAUGGUAGGAUUUCUUGUUACCCAUCGCCGACGAUUAGUGGCCUUGUUCGUUUAUGCUGGAGGAACUUUUGAUUACGAUCCGUCUGCUCGUUUGUUUAAUAGGAAAAUGAACGAUCGCAAAAUUCGAUUCAAACACCAUAAAAUGUCUUGGAAUUUUGAAAAUUAAUAUCGAACAUCUGUCGCGUUGACGUAAUAUUCCCUCUACGUUUGAAUUGAUCCUCGUCGUCGUUCUGACAGUACUGACACCGUUAAUAUCCUGAAUAUUCAUGAUCCGAAACACGGAAUAUUCAAUAACAAACUGGGAAUCGUUUUCGAAAGCUAAUGCACAACUUUCCGGUAUGUUAAUAAUUUCGUAAAAUAUAAAUCCCAGAGCGCCGUCAAUCUCGUGCGCGCCAUUCCGACGCGUUAUCGAACGUUCGGUUUCAUUGCGAAGCGCGAAGGUUGAAAUUGCAAUAAAACGCAAUCAUGAAAAUAAAUAUACACUUUGCCACGGAAGUCUAAAACCGUUUCAUACAAAAUUGCCUCGAAGUGUUCUCUUCUCUGGAUUAAUGCACGACGAGGUCACGAACAUAAUUAAAAGUUAAUAAUAAAUGCCCAGCGACUGGUAUCGCGUUCACGCGACACGUAUCUUCGCAAAUCAGUGAACUUUAUGUCAUUUUCCAACCGAGCGUUACAUAUCUGGCAUCUGCAGCGACAAAACGGAUAUAAUUUUCGCGUAACGCGUUUUAACUUUUCCAACCGCGUAACGUUUUGUAAUUAGUCGGGCGGGCGCGUCGAAACGCGAGACCAUUCGACCGUCAUCCGCAGUUCAUCCCAUUUGCCAAGGAGAAAAAAAAAAUGAUAUUACCCAGAAAGAAUAUCGUUUACGUUGAAUUACAGCGAAAUGAAUGUUACGGGAUAUGAAUUUUAACGCGAGAGAAAGGCGACGGUUAAAAGGAUGGGAGUCCGCGGGGGAUGAAAAGCACGAGGAUGAGUGUGAUUAUGAAUGGAGCGAGGAAGAAUUAAUCAUCCGAGCUUUUGCGCGUCGAUAAUUGCAACGCGUUUAUGAGACUCGUCUCCGAUACGUACGUGGAGGGUGUAAUGGAUGUUGCGAAUCCGUUCACGAUUUACCGCAGCGCCAGCCACUGUAACCAACAAACCGUAAAUAUUUACGUACUCCAUUCCGUUUUUCCAGUAUUUCUUUUUCCGGGGGAUAAAAAAAAAUAUACACGCGGAAACUCGUACGCCCGCGUGACACCUGCGUUGAAAAGCGUUCGCGCGAUCCUCGUGUCCGCGACACAUGGAAUUCCAUUUGUAAGGUACACCAGGGAUGGGUAACCUUUUAUUCCGGUAAGUCUGGAUGGGCGAAUAAAUUCAAACGUACAGAAAUUUAGAUACAACGUUCAGCGAGACUGGUGAUUUCCCGUACGUUUACAUUUUCUAUC